UUAUAAAAAAGAACGGUUAUAACGCUACAGUGGUGAAGAGAUCUGGAAACCUAGGUAAUGACAAU
This 65-nucleotide transfer RNA is filed under the name Fragilariopsis kerguelensis. RNAcentral's name for it is "partial Selenocysteine transfer RNA". Lineage: Eukaryota; Bacillariophyta; Bacillariophyceae; Bacillariales; Bacillariaceae. The record is from RNAcentral.